UACAAGCGCCUCACCUUAGCAUUCAAGGC
RNAcentral lists this non-coding RNA (29 nucleotides) under Homo sapiens (human). The record is from RNAcentral. Lineage: Eukaryota; Metazoa; Chordata; Mammalia; Primates; Hominidae.